GCAGAUUCCCCUACGGCUACCUUGUUACGACUUCACCCCAGUCAUUGACCACACCGUGGCAAGCGCCCUCCCGAAGGUUAAGCCACCUGCUUCUGGUGCCGCCAACUCCCAUGGUGUGACGGGCGGUGUGUACAAGGCCCGGGAACGUAUUCACCGCGGCAGUGCUGAUCCGCGAUUACUAGCGAUUCCGACUUCAUGGAGCCGGGUUGCAGACUCCAAUCCGGACUGCGAGCGGCUUUUUGGGAUUGGCUCCCCCUCGCGGGUUCGCAACCCUUUGUACCGCCCAUUGUAGCACGUGUGUGGCCCUGGCCGUAAGGGCCAUGAUGACUUGACGUCAUCCCCACCUUCCUCCGGUUUAUCACCGGCAGUCUCCCUAGAGUUCCCACC
This 387-nucleotide ribosomal RNA is filed under the name uncultured bacterium SA30. Its description in RNAcentral is "partial 16S ribosomal RNA". The record is from RNAcentral.